This 482-nucleotide ribosomal RNA is filed under the name uncultured bacterium. RNAcentral describes it as "bacterial SSU rRNA". It matches the Rfam family "Bacterial small subunit ribosomal RNA", at positions 29 to 506 of the family's 1533-position model. The record is from RNAcentral.
UUGAACGCUGGCGGAAUGCUUUACACAUGCAAGUCGAACGGCAGCACGGGGGCAACCCUGGUGGCGAGUGGCGAACGGGUGAGUAAUGUAUCGGAACGUACCCAGUCGUGGGGGAUAACUAUCCGAAAGGAUAGCUAAUACCGCAUACGUCCUGAGGGAGAAAGCGGGGGAUCGCAAGACCUCGCGCGAUUGGAGCGGCCGAUGUCAGAUUAGCUAGUUGGUGGGGUAAAAGCCUACCAAGGCGACGAUCUGUAGCUGGUCUGAGAGGACGACCAGCCACACUGGGACUGAGACACGGCCCAGACUCCUACGGGAGGCAGCAGUGGGGAAUUUUGGACAAUGGGCGCAAGCCUGAUCCAGCCAUGCCGCGUGCGGGAAGAAGGCCUUCGGGUUGUAAACCGCUUUUGUCAGGGAAGAAACGGUCUGGGCUAAUACCCUGGGCUAAUGACGGUACCUGAAGAAUAAGCACCGGCUAACUACGU